Molecule: long non-coding RNA, 1718 nt
Organism: Empidonax traillii (willow flycatcher)
Lineage: Eukaryota; Metazoa; Chordata; Aves; Passeriformes; Tyrannidae
Exons: 9
Source: RefSeq, a predicted model, not a curated record
GAGGAGCCGCCUCUGUUUGGUCUCCAUAAACUGCUGGAGUUCAUCCUCCAUGAACAGUUCUGCAGUGGACUCGAAUGAGGCUGCAAAGUGAGAGAAAGCAGCAGAGCUGGGAACAACAGACAGGUGUCCUGAGUCAGCCCCAGGCAGACACACCAGUAUAACCAGCAGCACACAGGUGGUGGAGAUCUCAGCUGAAGAUGCAGCCAGCUUAGUCUGUGAGAGGUCCUGCAGAUGCCUCUGACAUUCCUGCUGGUUGGGAUGUUUGCCUCUGCUGGGAGACCCCUCCAUCCUUUUCCUGGUUAGGAAAGGGACACAGCUGGGCCCCUGGAAGACUGACGGUGUGAAGAGUGAAGGCAGGACUGGUGCUGAGAGUGGAGUUCUUCUAGGUUUGGCAGUAAAUGUGGAUGAACAUCCCUUGCCUCUUGCUGAUGGAGCUGUGUGGUGUCCCUGCUUGCCCUUGGACACCAGUUGGACUUCCCAGUGAAGGAUGAGCCCGGCUGCACUCAGACUGAGCCAGCCUUGCCAGCCAAAGCAGAUUCUUCAUCCCUGCUUCCAAGCAGCACGGGCUUAAACAACUGGUGUCAGAGUGGGGUGUCUCUGCAGUCCUGGCCACGAAGAGAGGAGAUGAAACGUCCUGUUUGGAGCACAGGGAAGGGGCUGGAGCUGGGCUGCCAUCUCCACAACUGAAAAACUACAGUGAAAUCAGAGUUCUUUGUUCAUCUUUCAUUGCCUGCUUUGAGGAAAACAGUGAUCAGGAGAUGAGACAUGAGCCUUGAGGGAAGCAAUACUGUGCAGUCAGGAAGUUGCUUGUUCCACGAUCAGCAUCGCUGCAGCUCCUGAGGGAAAGGAUGACACUGUCUGGGCAGACUUGGAACCUGCUGAGAGCACUCGCACCUGGUACUCCACCCAGGAUCCAGUCUGCAAGUGGAAAAGUUGCCACUGAUGACUCGGAAUUUAGGAGCCAAGAGCUGCUGUGCGGAGUGGGAGCGCGUCAAGUGAGAGCGGUGAGGAGCGGAGUUCACCCAGUAACUGUGGCACGAGUGCCCAGCUUGGCCUGGCAGGAAGGUGAGCGGCACCUGAAGCCUCUUCCUGGAGUGUCCAGCCUGGCACGGAGACUGAGCCUGACCGUGGACUGAGCCCAUCAUUCCCACAUCCCAGCCAGGCAUUGUGCAUGCAGGUGCUGUCCUGGGCAGAACACAGGAUGCACCUGAGUCACUUCAAACAGUUAUAAUCUGAUCUCUCAGAGCAGCACCGUCAGCAGCUUCUCCUCCCCCUCGUGCAGUACACGGAGAGGUGUUCCCAUCCCUGGGCACCUUGGAAGUCCCAACAAGCCACGAGUGGCCAAGACCUGCCAAAGCCUGUUGAUCCAGACACUGGAUUCCUAAAGCCUUUGCUUUCCCCAGCACCUUCAUAAAGUGUCCUGGAUUAAGGGAGCCUGAAGUGCUCUGAUGGACCUGUUUCACCUGGUGGGAGGCAGAGGAUUCAGCGGGAGCACGUGCUGCAGCCUUGUGCACCUCACUUGGAUGGGUGAGAUGGAGCAGGGGCAGCUCCCAAGAGCCUGCGAGUCCCCACGAGGCACAAACCGCUCUGAAGCACCAGCCUUUGAAGCCUGGUUGGGGCAGUGUCCAGACCAAGCUGCCCCUCUGUGUGACCAGAAGUCAGUGCCUGUCCUUGCUGAGCCCUUCCACAGAGCCUCUGCAGCCCAGUGGGCACAAAGG